This is a long non-coding RNA of Papaver somniferum (opium poppy), 977 nucleotides long. RefSeq lists it as uncharacterized. The record is from RefSeq and is a predicted model, not a curated record. Lineage: Eukaryota; Viridiplantae; Streptophyta; Magnoliopsida; Ranunculales; Papaveraceae. The transcript has 4 exons.
AUUUUCUCCUUCUUCCAAUCCAACGACAGCCACCACCAUUACCACCUCCGCCGCUGCAAAUAGACUCAGAAACACCUCCACUAAUCUCACCACCAGUUCUAGCACAAUCUCCUAAAUUUCCACCAAGUCCACCACCACCACGUCCUGGACAAUCAAUUUUGAUUAACGAAUCUACGAGAAACUAAAUUCUCCAACCAAAUCUAAAGCUCAGAUCCAUUUCCUUUUCAAUUGGAUUUGUCUUUAAGAACGCAAAAUCGAUGACAACAGUUAGUUAUUCAAGAUUUGCCCGCAUCUAUUUAAGAAGAGAAGAUGAAAAUCGUUAUCUUUUAUUGGAUCUGAAAAUUUAAUUUUCCCAAACCAAUAGAAGUUAAUCACCAUCAGAUAAUCUCAAACAAUAGUCACCAUCAACAGUAGACUCGAGAAACUUAGUGGUACAACUGUACAUGUUGGAAAGGCAUGUGAACAGGGAGGAGGCAGAGAUGAUCAACCUUGCUGGCCUGAUUUGUGAAUGCAAAAUACUGUGUUUCUAAUUGGGAUGGGAUGUCAUUUAUCCUUGCAAUAUAUGUGUUCCAGUCCUCAGGACAAACUAGCAAGGGUUGAGGUGUAUUAGACGAACUUGUGGUGUAAUGGUAACACACCUGGAUCCACGUCAGAAGAUGCGUGUUCGAAUCACGUCAGGUUCACUAAUUUUAGUACAUCAAUUUUACGGAUCAAAUUUGGUUGUUGACGCCAGAUUUUGGGAUCAACUUUGGUUGUUGACCCGUUCAUUGGGACCACUUUUUUUUCUCUAUUGAUUGCGACCACUUUUAUUGUAUCUUAAUUGUUUUUCAGCAUUUUAUUUUGUUCCUUUUUUUCUUCUCUGGAUUAUGUAAUGUGCUAUUAGGUUUAGAUUUUUUUAAUAAGAUGAAGUUUCCUUCCAGGACAAGAAAUGUUUGUUCAUCUGGUGUGCUAUAUUAUCUAGUUGCUUUCUGAUUUCA